This 72-nucleotide ribosomal RNA is filed under the name Xiuguozyma silvatica. RNAcentral describes it as "[Candida] silvatica partial 18S ribosomal RNA". The record is from RNAcentral. Lineage: Eukaryota; Fungi; Ascomycota; Pichiomycetes; Pichiales; Pichiaceae.
CAUUACAGAAGAUUCGACACAAACCAUUAAAUUGGUUUGCGUCGAAUCGACUUACAAACGCUGGUCUUUUUC